Long non-coding RNA from Hibiscus syriacus, 488 nucleotides. RefSeq lists it as uncharacterized. The record is from RefSeq and is a predicted model, not a curated record. Lineage: Eukaryota; Viridiplantae; Streptophyta; Magnoliopsida; Malvales; Malvaceae. The transcript has 2 exons.
AAGAACAGUGUUUGAGGUUUAGUUGUCUGGAUAGGUCAAAGACUAUUUACAUGCAGUUCAUUAUGUGCGACUAAUGCGGUAAAGAUGCAUGUUAUAUGAUGAAUAAUAAUGAUUGAUUGGGUUUGUGUCUCUUUCAUGUAGGUUGUUGAGAGUGGGGGGAAAAACAUUGAAGUUGCUGUGAUGACUAAGGAUGGUCUGCGGCAGCUUGAUGAAGCUGAAAUUGAUGCAAUUGCAGCAAAGAUUGAAGCAGAGAAGGAAGCAGCUGAGGCUGCAAAGAAGGCCCCUCCAAAGGACAAUGAAGCAUCAACUGUAACUUUUCAUUUCUUUUUCUCUUUUCUUCUAGUUGAUUGGCUUUGAAGUUUGUUUCAUUGUACACAUGAGGGAUUCGUUUACUGUUGGUUAUUUCAGUUAAGAAUUUCAACACUUUCCGGAGGUUGAAGCUAUUUCUGCAGGUUUUAUUUGCUUUUAAAUUAUAGUUAAGACUGUUU